GUGAAUCAUCAAAUCUUUGAACGCAAAUUGCACUCUCUUCGGAGAGUAUGCCUGUUUGAGGGUCAGCCUAAAAAAAAAUCGACAUAGUCGCUGUGUCGCGGUGACAUUCGUCGGAAAUUGGUUAAUUUUAAACCUUGGGUUUUUAGGCGCCUUAAAUUUUUUUUUACGUUUCCAGAAAGGUUUUUAGGAUUA
This 192-nucleotide unclassified non-coding RNA is filed under the name Glomus sp. RNAcentral's name for it is "partial contains 5.8S ribosomal RNA and internal transcribed spacer 2". The stretch from base 1 to 65 matches the Rfam family "5.8S ribosomal RNA", at positions 84 to 154 of the family's 154-position model. Lineage: Eukaryota; Fungi; Glomeromycota; Glomeromycetes; Glomerales; Glomeraceae. The record is from RNAcentral.